GUCCUUGAAGCGGCAGUAGCGCUUGUGACCCUUGAGCCAGGACAGCACCCCGUGGUUGCGGCAGCGCGCGCACUUGGGCGUGCGCUGCAAGGGCGCCCGCGGCGGCUGCGACACCGGGCCGCCCAUGUACAGGCUGAUUUGGCGGCACCAGGCCCGAGGCCGCUUUUAUCCCAACACUUUGCCGAGAAACUCGGCUCGGCGAGAGCCAGAGCCUACUGGAGCGUGGCAGGUGCACUGGGGACCCGGCAGGAGCCGAGAGGGUCUUAAGUUGGGGCGAGCCAGGCCCCGCGCAGGGCCACUGGCAGUAGGGCGGUGAUUUGUAAAAUUUGGGCUCUUUCUUGAUUUCCUUUUGCAACAUAUUUUGUCUUGCUGCUGUAGAAGAAAAUGAAUGUUGUUGAAAACCUGCUGGCCCAAGAUGACAACCCAUUUUGCAGGCUAUUUCAAAGGGAAAAACAGUCCUCCUCCUUUGGCGCUGAGUUUAUUUUUCUACACUCUUCACCACGUUUUAGUAAAAAACAAGUCUCUGUCCUGAAAGGCCGGGGAAGUGUUCGUGUGGAGGAUUUGCUCAAGUACUGCAUCUAAACUUUCAGAGUGGACCAAGGAGCCACGUUAGCGUCUGGAAAGUUACCGGACAUGACCUUCCCUCUCCCCAGCAGCCACUGAACCAGCAAACGGAGGUCUCGCGUCACGCAGUUCAAACCCCCACGGACUCAGUGAUUUAGUUAUAGAUAAAGGAUGGGGUCACUUCGUCCCUGCCGCCCCCAGCGUCUUUGGAUAGUAUGAAACUUUGUUUAAACUGUUAUUUGCAUAUUUUUAAUCUCCUCCGAGUACCCGUUUGACCUAAUGCAGACUACUGCCACCAAUACACAGGGACCUCAAAUCAAAACACAAAGACAAAAAACAGGUGGAUUCAGCGGCGCAGGGUAGCUCAAUGGCUCUGUGCGAAGCGGGUGAGAUGGCAAUCCCGGAGCCGUCGGUCCCCAAGCUUCUGAGAGCGGACAUGAGCUUAUCACUAGGCGGUAUGAGCGAAUCGAAUUCGAGAGGAGAGCAGAGACGAGUUCACUGCAAUGGCCAACCCUGAGGCUUCACCACGGCCCUUGUUCCCUCGGGGAGGCCACUUUUCUCUGUACUGUCCUGGAAGCAAGCAGGCAACCCGAAAACGUCUCUUCUGUCUCUUCUGUGUUCUCUGUGAAUUCAAGUAAAAGUACAGCCACGCAUUCUACUAGCCAA
Non-coding RNA from Equus caballus (horse), 1230 nucleotides. The record is from RefSeq and is a predicted model, not a curated record. Lineage: Eukaryota; Metazoa; Chordata; Mammalia; Perissodactyla; Equidae.